This is a long non-coding RNA of Hordeum vulgare subsp. vulgare (domesticated barley), 2779 nucleotides long. RefSeq lists it as uncharacterized. The record is from RefSeq and is a predicted model, not a curated record. The transcript has 4 exons. NCBI's taxonomy places the organism in Eukaryota, Viridiplantae, Streptophyta, Magnoliopsida, Poales, Poaceae.
CUCAUAUCCCCCGUCUCUCCCGAACUGCCGCCUCGGCGUUUUCCUCUCCCAUCCGUCUCUCUCACAUCCUCUGCCUCUCUCCUACGAUCUCUUGGCCGUCGCGGCACCUAGCCAGAGCUGUCACCUAACUAGCCCACUUCUUCGUCAGCAUGUGGCCAGAGCCGGCGCGCGCCUACCAUCGAUGCGGCGGCAUUGAGCUCGACAAUUACAAUAGCGGGGACCAUGACAGAGGGCAGACGGGAUCCAGCAGCAUUAGAGCUCAGUCAUCAGAUCCGGUGGAAGCUCAUCUUCGUCCGGCAGUAGAGGCAGCCACGCUCAUUCGUUUGAUCCUUUUCUUGCAACUCCGACUAGUUCCUCUCCUCCUCUGUUGCUCAUCUUUUUUGUAUCUUUGUUAAGUUGUACAGACUAUUUGCAGCUCACACAAGCUGACCAUGAGCUUGACCUUACUAGAGAGCCAGCGGUGGUGGACUGCUCAUGUUUGGCACCCCUGCAUCGUUCGUCUCCAACGGGGAGCUCCUGCUUGACUUCGUAAUUCGUAUUCAUCCAUGUUGAGCUGACGGAUGUCUGCUGCACGGCUGUCAACGCUGGAGAUGGACAAGCCAAAGACAACGGCAUCGUCACCACCACAAGCAGGAAUCUCUCCCAGGAGGUCCGCUCGAGUGGCCACCAGCCGUCAGUAAUGGAAUCGACAAGGCCCUCGUGCAUGUUCUCACAACCACCAAGAAUUGACAAGAGGGAAUAUGUUCAAAAGUGCAUCAUACGCUACAUGAUUCCAUGUUGCCUUUGAAAUUAUGCUCCCGGCAACAACAAAAAGUGCAAUGACCUACUCGAAAUAAGUUGAUCAAUUUGAUAUACAAGACAUUUAAUCAAGUUUGUAUGUCCCGAGUGUAAAAUCAAAUCAUACUACAUACUUGCUCCCUCUGUAACUUAAUACUGCAUUAAUCAUUUUUUUACAUUCUCAUAGUGUCAAAACACAUCUUCUAUCUGAUAAAAAGACAUCUUAUAUUAAGUUACGGAGGGAGUACUAAUUAUGUUCAGUGAUAGUGUAUUUCAGUCUUUUGGUUGUUUUUGCAUUUGUUCACUUGCUUUCACACCCAUUAAAGAGAUUAUUGUUUGGACUCAGUGGCUGGAUAAAUUUCGUCAACUGACGAAAAGAAAUAAAAUUAGAACUCUAAAUGACCAUAUUGUUUACACUGAUCCCUGCAGAAUUUUAAUUGGUCCGUUCUUUUCCAGCAAGACCAGUAUCACAUGGAGUAGACCAUGGUGACGUCAAUCUCAUUUCUAACUUCAGUGUGUGGUGUCUACUGGCCGCAACAGUCCUGCAUUUGUAGUGCAUGCAGAACAUCCACCAUUGUUGUUGACCUAAUCUUUAGGCCAUCGUUGUGCUUUACCUAGCUAAAAGUUAAGUAUGUAUUUGAGACAAUUUUUUGUUGAUUGCUAUAGUGAUUGGCAUCCCGGCUAGUGGAAACAAAACAGAGAGCUCCCCGGCCCACGGGUAGAAAACUGGAAGAAAAAUGCAAAAAACAGAGGAAUAACUUGAAAUAAGCACAUACGAUUAUAUAAUUAAAAAUAAAAUCUUUGUCCAUUAGUAAUUAAGCCCUCUCCUGGGUUUCGUGACCCUUUGUCCACUAUCCCCCUUGUCUAGGUAAUUGUCCGUGUGUUGCAAUGAAGCCAAAAGAUUCUAGAUGUGUUCCACACCAAUUAUGUUAAAUAUGUACUACCAAGGUUACAAAUUCCUUUGGCAACUUUUGUUAACCUGACCAAGUAGCACCAUUGAUGUUUUAGAAAAAAGAAGCAGCAUUGAGGACAAUGAACAUCACCCCCUCCCAUCAAUUUAUGUUCGUGCUAAAAACGACAUUAUCUUGUCGGAUACAAUUGGUAUUAUGGAGCAUGUACAAUAAAAUGGGGAGCACACUACCUUCAGGGUUACAAUCUCAUGAAGCUGCAAUUUUAAUGGCGAUCUAAAUAUAUAGUGUCAACGCUCCUACAGCCAAACACAAUUAAGAUAUCCGUAUUUAGGAUAUGAACUAUUCAUAGGAACAAAAAUGUGUCAUAAAUAUAUAAGAACCAAAAAGAGACAUGCUAGGGGUGCCUUAGAAGAUCACUACUAAAUGGCAGAUCAGGUGAAUCUAUACUUAUCCAUGCCACAUUUGUCAUUAUCUCACUGCCUGAUUAGAAAUGAUACAACCUCCCUUUUCUGAAUUUGGAAGAAACAAUAGGAGUGUGUAAGCUCGGUGUCGUUACCUGACUUGAUUCCAGCGAGCUUGUCCAUGGUGGUGAUUGCCUACAAUACCAAAGACAUGACGCACCCCACGCUAGCUACUGCUUCGUUACUGCCUCACUUUCCACAUGGGUUCCUUGGCAAGGCUUGAUGCAUGUGUAUUACAUUCAAAGUUUCAGACUGCAUUUAAACAAAAGAUAGGGGAGCCCUCAAAAUUAAGACAGAUUUAUCCUACAACGUGGGCCAUUUCCAAUCAAUCAAUGGAGCAGUUUGUGUUGUGCAUAUAUUCCAUUGCAUCUUAUAGUGUAAAAACAACAGACCUCAUGAUUGUAAAGGGGAACUUUCCUCCAACAUUGCCGUAGCUAACAUGCUUGCUAGCCUAGGACCAUGGUACGUGAGCAAUAUAGCUACUCGGCUUAUGACGAGAAGAGGAUGCAACCUGAAGCUCGAGUGUGGGGCAGAGGAUCCAUCCAGAAGCAUGGGAGGCCAUGCCAGCCGACGACUGUAUACAAUUCGAGUCUAUGUGAAUUCACUUAAGGAUUGGGUUCGAUUCACCUG